RNAcentral lists this small nuclear RNA (85 nucleotides) under Phocoena sinus (vaquita). Lineage: Eukaryota; Metazoa; Chordata; Mammalia; Artiodactyla; Phocoenidae. The record is from RNAcentral.
GAACAUUUUAAUUGGAACCAUAAAAAGAUUAGCGUGGCCCUUGAGCAAGGAGGAUAUGCAAAUUCAUGAAGUAUUCCAUGUUUUU